Long non-coding RNA from Cyprinus carpio (common carp), 1081 nucleotides. Lineage: Eukaryota; Metazoa; Chordata; Actinopteri; Cypriniformes; Cyprinidae. The record is from Ensembl.
AUGGAGGUUUCCUCUCUGUCACUCCGCCACGGAGUCAGGUGUAUGCCUGACGCCGGUGCUACGGUCGAGGAUGUGCUCGUGGCGAUUGGAGAACAAAUAGGAUUUGAAAAUAUUGUAUCCGCAUCCAAAAUGAACAAGGCCGUGGUGGUUUUUCUGAAGGAUCAAAGUUUUGUUAGUAAACUCAUCGUGAGCGGCAUUUGGGUAAGUGGAGCAUUUGUUAUUGUUUCUCCGUUGGUAUCGCAGUCGACAAGGGUAAACAUUUCCAAUUGUCCACCAUACAUACCUAAUGCAUGCAUUGAAAAUGAAUUGCAGAGGUUUGGGAAAAUAGUAAGUGGAAUGACAUUAAUUUCACUCGGGUGUAAAAAUGAAGCCCUAAAACACGUGUUGUCUUUUAGGCGGCAGUUGUUUAUGGUUUUAGAAUCACCGACGCUAGAUAUCUCGUUUCGGGUUAAACAUGAAGAUAAAUCAUAUAUGAUCUAUGCGAGUACCAAUCAUUUGAAAUGCUUUGAGUGCGGGAAUUUUGGGCAUAAAAAAAUGGAAUGCCCGCGUAAAACACAAACAGAAGAAAAUAGCAACAACACAAAUGAAGAUGAACAUGCGGUCGUUGAUGAAGCAGUGAAUGCAGAGAAAAGUAAAGAAAUAGAGUUAGAAAAUGGAACUGACAAGGAGCAGAGUGCAAAUAAUAAACGAAGUACGCACGAACAAAGUGAAUCUACUGAAGAUGUAGGUCAGAAGGAAUCGAAUGAAAAGAAAUCAGGGAAAAAACAGGGAAAAGGAAUAAUUGUGAUGGAGAAAAAAGGAUGAAUUGUGAAGAGGCAGGAACUAGUGAGGUGAAAAAAUCUCAUGUUGAGAGUCCUGAUAAUAUUGAUGUAGACACUUUUGAGAAUCAAAUUGAUAAUAUAUCUCUGUCUCAGUUCUCUGAAAUCACUGAUGUGACUGAAGAGAUGGCUGAUGAUGAUUGUCUUUCUGAAAUNCAUGCUAAAACACAGAAUUUGGUAACAAUAAUAAUAAUAAUAAUAGUAAUAAUCAUUAAAAAGAAAAAUGGUGAGAAAAAAUAAAACAUUUCAUAGGGCCCUAAACA